GGCGCUGAAUCACCAGCACCCGCUGGCAGCAUCUGUGCAGCCUCAGGGGUGGGCAGGUGUCGCCUGCAGGUGUGCCUCGCAGGUGGCCCGACCGGACCUCAGCUACUGGGCAGUCUGGAGCAGCACGGAGCCUGGAGAUCGCUGGGAAUGGAGUUCUAGAAGGCUACAUCUGACUGGCUCAUCAACCAUCAAAGAGAGUCUUUCUAAAUCCACUGCCUUGGAAGCCUCAUCCUGUGUGAGGCAGAAUGGUGUCCCCACCAGGAGUACUGUCUUCCUUGCUGCUGCUGGCAGCCAUGGCAGGUGGCAGCUCUCAGCAGUGCUCUGAGGGCAGGACUUACUCCGACGCCAUCAUUUCACCUAACCUGGAAAGCAUUAGAAUCAUGCGGGUGUCUCACACCUUCUCUGUGGGAGACUGUACAGCAGCUUGCUGUGACUUGCCCAGCUGUGACCUGGCCUGGUGGUUUGAGGGCAGCUGCUAUCUGGUGAACUGCAUGCGCCCGGAGAACUGCGAGCCCAGGACCACAGGCCCCAUCCGAUCUUACCUCACUUUCGUGCGCAGACCUGUCCAGAGGUCUGGGCAGCUGC
This 585-nucleotide long non-coding RNA is filed under the name Rattus norvegicus (Norway rat). RNAcentral describes it as "long non-coding RNA NONRATT012954". The record is from RNAcentral. Lineage: Eukaryota; Metazoa; Chordata; Mammalia; Rodentia; Muridae.